RNAcentral lists this ribosomal RNA (506 nucleotides) under uncultured bacterium. Its description in RNAcentral is "partial 16S ribosomal RNA". It matches the Rfam family "Bacterial small subunit ribosomal RNA", at positions 29 to 523 of the family's 1533-position model. The record is from RNAcentral.
AGUGAACGCUGGCGGUAGGCCUAACACAUGCAAGUCGAACGGCAGCACAGGAGAGCUUGCUCUCUGGGUGGCGAGUGGCGGACGGGUGAGGAAUACAUCGGAAUCUACUUUUUCGUGGGGGAUAACGUAGGGAAACUUACGCUAAUACCGCAUACGACCUACGGGUGAAAGCAGGGGACCUUCGGGCCUUGCGCGAUUGAAUGAGCCGAUGUCGGAUUAGCUAGUUGGCGGGGUAAAGGCCCACCAAGGCGACGAUCCGUAGCUGGUCUGAGAGGAUGAUCAGCCACACUGGAACUGAGACACGGUGCAAACUCCUACGGGAGGCAGCAGUGGGGAAUAUUGGACAAUGGGCGCCAGCCUGAUCCAGCCAUACCGCGUGGGUGAAGAAGGCCUUCGGGUUGUAAAGCCCUUUUGUUGGGAAAGAAAUCCAGCUGGCUAAUACCCGGUUGGGAUGACGGUACCCAAAGAAUAAGCACCGGCUAACUUCGUGCCAGCAGCCGCCGUAA